CCCAUUGUAAGACUAUUUAAGGGUUAUGAGUGAAUUAGAAAGGGAGAAAUCAGAAUUAGAGAAUUGAAGAAGUUAGCAGAGCAGAAGAAAAGAAGCGUGAAAGAGAGAAGGGGAGAAUAAAGAAGAAAAACCUAGAAUUUGAUCUUCAAGAGGUAAGAAUUUGGAUUCAUGUUCUAUGGAUUAGUAUGAUAGUGGGUAAUGACAGGAAGCAUGAUUUAAGAACCCUAGAACCUUGCUUGAAAAACAUGUUUUGGGUUUUAUUUUGGAGAUUAGAUAUGUUUAAUCACCAGAUGUUUUUCUCGUCGUUCUUUAUGGGUUGAAUUGCAAACUUUUGAUUUAUAUAUAUAUUAUUCACAACACUAGCUAUGAGUAUUGAUUGUGAACAAGGGGUUGAAUGCGUAGAGGUUCCUUGUUAUGCAUGACGAACAAGGGGUCAUGAGUAUUGAUUGUCAAAAAAUUUCCUCUGUUCUUGCCGUUGUUUCCUCUGCCUGAUGCACCAUUAAUUCGACCCAAAUCCAUUAAGAUGAAACCAUGUUAAGUGCGUGUCUCUCGUAACAUGCUUUAAUACUCUAGAUAAUUGUACACUUGAAGACAAAACAAUUUUUAAUUUAACGAAAUUAAAUACCCUUUAUAGAUGCACAUAUCAAAUCUUUGGAGAGAAAGUUAGACAAGAUCUUAGCCAAAUGGUGGCAUCACCCAAUGAAGGUAGUGGCCUGUAGCAUCAACAGUGGUGAUGGAAUGAAAGGAUUCAAAAGUGAGGAUGAUAAAAACAUGAUUAAUCGUUAGGUUAAUUUUGGGAUUUAAUUUGGGUUUGGGUUAGGUUAGUUAGUGAAUUAUACGUAGGAAAGGAUUAGUGUAGGAGAGUUUGAGGUGCGCGUGCCCAUGGCGAGUUGCGCAGGGAGAUGUCGCGAGAUGGCGAGCAUGAGCAUGUCGCGAGUUUUUGAAAAAUUGGGAGAAAAUCCAGUUUUGUAUAAUUAAUUUCAGAACCUGUUAAAUGUGAAUUAUAUUUGAUUUAUAUAUGUUUAAUAGUUUAUUAUUUUGGUGUUAUUUUUCUGAAUUGAUGUUAUGUGUUGAGUUGCUAAGUUACUGUGACUGCAAGUUGUAUAAUUGAUUACAUGUAAUAUGUGUUUUGUGCAACUGGUGAUGAAUAUGCUAAAAUAAUUAGGACUUUGAGAUGGUCUGAAUAUGCAUAUGUUAGUUGAGUUGUGCACAAUACACUGCAUAGUUGUCAAGAGGCAAUGUUUGCUUGUUCGCGUGGAGACUAGUGACUUGUCACAAAACUGGAGUGGUUUUGAAGCCUAGAGCGAGGGCUUUAUUGGUGGUUAUAUGUCUGGAGUGGACGCGGUGAUACCGCUAAGGAUAACAACUUUGGUACCAAAGGCAUUUGCACGGGUCUCACUUGAGUCAUAUGUGUUAGGGAGUUGUUGAUGCUAAUUAAUGAUAAUUGUGAUAUUUUUUUGAGAUUGAUGUUGUGGUAAUUGGAGACAAUAAUAUUUGCUUACUUGAUGCUAUGAAUUAUGGAGUAUUGUCAUAACUGUGAGAUUGAUUGAUUAUAUUAAAUUACAUAAUUUAUUAUUUGUUAGUGAAGUGUGAAGAAUUUAUGUGGAACAUAGAUAAGCUUUUACAUUAUUUAUUAUUAUGCUUAUCCAUAUGAUAUGAGUUCUCACCCUUCUGUUGGAAUGAUGUUCUAUGCAACAUCGCUCAGGUACAGAGGAUAGUGGAGCUUCUCACGAGGGUUAGUUAGAGGAGCUAGUCUUUCAGAUAUGCUUUUAGUGAUGGGAGUCAUGUUAUAUUAUGUAACACUGGGGAACCGCUUAGUUUGUACCUUGAUGUUAAGAGUUAUUUUGUGAACUCUCUUCAUUUAUUUUUGGAUUAUGUUUUAUUUUGAAGCUGAAAUAAAUCCGUUGUGCUAUGCAUAUGAUGUUAUGACAUUAAAGUUGGAAAUUUAUAUAUUUAUUAUGAGCAUG
Molecule: long non-coding RNA, 1967 nt
Filed under: Lotus japonicus
Lineage: Eukaryota; Viridiplantae; Streptophyta; Magnoliopsida; Fabales; Fabaceae
Description: long non-coding RNA (LJAP_LNC001011)
Source: RNAcentral